Molecule: transfer RNA, 63 nt
Filed under: Fukomys damarensis (Damara mole-rat)
Lineage: Eukaryota; Metazoa; Chordata; Mammalia; Rodentia; Bathyergidae
Rfam family: tRNA
About the family: Transfer RNA (tRNA) molecules are approximately 80 nucleotides in length. Their secondary structure includes four short double-helical elements and three loops (D, anti-codon, and T loops).
Source: Rfam by way of RNAcentral
GGGGAUUUAGCUCAGUGGCACAGCACCUGCCUCACAAGCACAAGGUCCUGAGUUCAAUCCCCA